RNAcentral lists this ribosomal RNA (302 nucleotides) under uncultured Helotiales. Its description in RNAcentral is "eukaryotic LSU rRNA". The stretch from base 1 to 120 matches the Rfam family "5.8S ribosomal RNA", at positions 35 to 154 of the family's 154-position model. The record is from RNAcentral. Lineage: Eukaryota; Fungi; Ascomycota; Leotiomycetes; Helotiales.
GAUGAAGAACGCAGUGAAAUGCGAUAAGUAAUGUGAAUUGCAGAAUUCAGUGAAUCAUCGAAUCUUUGAACGCAUAUUGCGCCCGGUGGUAUUCCGCCGGGCAUGCCUAUUCGAGCGUCAUUACAACCCUCACGCCCCGCGUGGUCUUGGGCCGAGCCCCCGGGCUGGCCUCAAAUGUAGUGGCGGCGCCUCUGGGCCCUGAGCGUAGUACUACUUCCGCUACAGGGUCCCCGAGGACGCCGGCCGAACCCCAACUCUUCAAGGUUGACCUCGGAUUAGGUAGGGAUACCCGCUGAACUUAA